This 70-nucleotide transfer RNA is filed under the name Mus musculus (house mouse). RNAcentral's name for it is "tRNA-Gly". The record is from RNAcentral. Lineage: Eukaryota; Metazoa; Chordata; Mammalia; Rodentia; Muridae.
GGCUGGAGCUCAGUGCUAGAGCGCUUGCCUACCAGAUGCACGACAAUGGGUUCAAUCCCCAGCACAGCCA